GACGAACGCUGGCGGCGUGCUUAACACAUGCAAGUCGAACGGAAAGGCCCUGCUUUUGUGGGGUGCUCGAGUGGCGAACGGGUGAGUAACACGUGAGUAACCUGCCCUUGACUUUGGGAUAACUUCAGGAAACUGGGGCUAAUACCGGAUAGGAGCUCCUGCUGCAUGGUGGGGGUUGGAAAGUUUCGGCGGUUGGGGAUGGACUCGCGGCUUAUCAGCUUGUUGGUGGGGUAGUGGCUUACCAAGGCUUUGACGGGUAGCCGGCCUGAGAGGGUGACCGGCCACAUUGGGACUGAGAUACGGCCCAGACUCCUACGGGAGGCAGCAGUGGGGAAUAUUGCACAAUGGGCGGAAGCCUGAUGCAGCAACGCCGCGUGCGGGAUGACGGCCUUCGGGUUGUAAACCGCUUUCGCCUGUGACGAAGCGUGAGUGACGGUAAUGGGUAAAGAAGCACCGGCUAACUACGUGCCAGCAGCCGCGGUGAUACGUAGGGUGCGAGCGUUGUCCGGAUUUAUUGGGCGUAAAGGGCUCGUAGGUGGUUGAUCGCGUCGGAAGUGUAAUCUUGGGGCUUAACCCUGAGCGUGCUUUCGAUACGGGUUGACUUGAGGAAGGUAGGGGAGAAUGGAAUUCCUGGUGGAGCGGUGGAAUGCGCAGAUAUCAGGAGGAACACCAGUGGCGAAGGCGGUUCUCUGGGCCUUUCCUGACGCUGAGAAGCGAAAGCGUGGGGAGCGAACAGGCUUAGAUACCCUGGUAGUCCACGCUGUAAACGGUGGGUACUAGGUGUGGGGUCCAUUCCACGGGUUCCGUGCCGUAGCUAACGCUUUAAGUACCCCGCCUGGGGAGUACGGCCGCAAGGCUAAAACUCAAAGGAAUUGACGGGGCCCCGCACAAGCGGCGGAGCAUGCGGAUUAAUUCGAUGCAACGCGUAGAACCUUACCUGGGUUUGACAUGGAUCGGGAGUGCUCAGAGAUGGGUGUGCCUCUUUUGGGGUCGGUUCACAGGUGGUGCAUGGCUGUCGUCAGCUCGUGUCGUGAGAUGUUGGGUUAAGUCCCGCAACGAGCGCAACCCUUGUUCACUGUUGCCAGCACGUUAUGGUGGGGACUCAGUGGAGACCGCCGGGGUCAACUCGGAGGAAGGUGGGGAUGACGUCAAGUCAUCAUGCCCCUUAUGUCCAGGGCUUCACGCGUGCUACAAUGGCUGGUACAGAGAGUGGCGAGCCUGUGAGGGUGAGCGAAUCUCGGAAAGUCGGUCUCAGUUCGGAUUGGGGUCUGCAACUCGACCUCAUGAAGUCGGAGUCGCUAGUAAUCGCAGAUCAGCAACGCUGCGGUGAAUACGUUCCCGGGGCC
Molecule: ribosomal RNA, 1346 nt
Filed under: uncultured bacterium
Lineage: Bacteria
Description: partial 16S ribosomal RNA
Rfam family: Bacterial small subunit ribosomal RNA
Source: RNAcentral